This is a long non-coding RNA of Cucumis melo (muskmelon), 425 nucleotides long. RefSeq lists it as uncharacterized. NCBI's taxonomy places the organism in Eukaryota, Viridiplantae, Streptophyta, Magnoliopsida, Cucurbitales, Cucurbitaceae. The transcript is spliced from 2 exons. The record is from RefSeq and is a predicted model, not a curated record.
UAGUAGACUGAACAAAUAUCUUGACGUUGUCUUUCUAAAGCUUGAUUGCAACCAAGACAAUAAGCCAUUGGCAAAGGAACUUGGGAUAAAAGUGGUGCCAACUUUCAAAAUUCUAAAGGAUAAGAAGGUCGUUAAAAAAGUAACUGGAGCAAAGUUCGAUGAUUUGGUUCAUGCCAUUGAUACUGUAAGAUCCAGCUGAAAACUCUCCUCUCUUCUCUUCUUUGUAAAUUUAAAUAAUAUGAUGCAAGGAAGAGUGUUCAGGGCAGUUAUUUAUUUUACUCUAUUAGUUUAAUGAUUUUGUGUACUGUUAAGUGUUAAGGAAGAAGCAAUUCGACCAUGAGAAAUGAUUCUGUAUAUAAAAAUGUUUGGGAGAUAGACAUUUGAAUGUGUACAAUGAAAGUUUCUACAUAUUCCAAAAAUUAUUU